This 253-nucleotide ribosomal RNA is filed under the name uncultured bacterium. RNAcentral describes it as "partial 16S ribosomal RNA". It matches the Rfam family "Bacterial small subunit ribosomal RNA", at positions 524 to 776 of the family's 1533-position model. The record is from RNAcentral.
UACGAAGGGGGCUAGCGUUGUUCGGAAUUACUGGGCGUAAAGCGCACGUAGGCGGAUUUGUAAGUCAGGGGUGAAAUCCCGGGGCUCAACCUCGGAACUGCCUUUGAUACUGCAAGUCUUGAGACCGGAAGAGGUGAGUGGAAUUCCUAGUGUAGAGGUGAAAUUCGUAGAUAUUAGGAAGAACACCAGUGGCGAAGGCGGCUCACUGGCCCGGUUCUGACGCUGAGGUGCGAAAGCGUGGGGAGCAAACAGG